AAGUCGUAACAAGGUUUCCGUAGGUGAACCUGCGGAAGGAUCAUUAACACGUAUCCACGUAUCCACCCCUGUGCACUUGUUUUUUCUCCCUGUGGCUUCACAUGAAUCGGUAAAACGCGUCAGCAUUUUGGAUAGGGCCUUCGGGCCGGUGCUGCGCGUACACUGGAGGCAUUCGUGCCUCUGACGAUUGAAGUGGAGUCUCAGGCAAACUGCUCAUUACAGAAGCCUCUAUCCAAGGCGGACGUAGUGGGUUCAUAUACACCAUUUUCACCCUUUUUGCUAGUUGAUUUUUUAAUGUUGUAUUCAUGUUCGCAUGUAUGCACACGUUUCUUAAUUGAACGAAAAAACAUAACUUUUAGCAAUGGAUAUCUCGGUUCUC
This 379-nucleotide unclassified non-coding RNA is filed under the name fungal sp. RNAcentral's name for it is "partial internal transcribed spacer region". The stretch from base 1 to 46 matches the Rfam family "Eukaryotic small subunit ribosomal RNA", at positions 1786 to 1831 of the family's 1831-position model. Lineage: Eukaryota; Fungi. The record is from RNAcentral.